Molecule: small nuclear RNA, 105 nt
Organism: Fukomys damarensis (Damara mole-rat)
Lineage: Eukaryota; Metazoa; Chordata; Mammalia; Rodentia; Bathyergidae
Source: Ensembl
GUGUUUGCUUUGGCAGCACACAUACUAAAACUGGAACGAUACAGAAGAUUAGUAUGGCCUCUGCCCAAGGAUGACACACAAAUUCGUGAAGUGCUCCAUGUUAAA